UACGUAGGGGGCAAGCGUUAUCCGGAUUUACUGGGUGUAAAGGGAGCGCAGGCGGCGUGGCAAGUCAGAUGUGAAAACCCGAGGCUCAACCACGGGAGUGCAUUGGAAACUGGCGAGCUGGAGUGCCGGAGAGGUAAGCGGAAUUCCUAGUGUAGCGGUGAAAUGCAUAGAUAUCACGCAGAACCCCGAUUGCGAAGGCAGCAUACCGGUGCACAACUGACGCUCAGGCACGAAAGCGUGGGUAUCGAACAGG
Molecule: ribosomal RNA, 253 nt
Filed under: uncultured bacterium
Lineage: Bacteria
Description: partial 16S ribosomal RNA
Rfam family: Bacterial small subunit ribosomal RNA
Source: RNAcentral